This is a long non-coding RNA of Equus asinus (donkey), 1985 nucleotides long. Lineage: Eukaryota; Metazoa; Chordata; Mammalia; Perissodactyla; Equidae. The record is from Ensembl.
CGCCGCCGCCCGCGCACCUGCCGCUGACCGCCGCUGCCGGAGGCCGCCGUAACCGCCACGCCCGGGGCCCGUGGGCGCGCGCGGGCCGCCCACCCCUGGUCGCCGAGCCCCCCGCUGCCGCUGCCGCCGCUGCCUGCACGGCCCUCGUCCUUCAGCCUGCUGGCGCUGCCCGCGCCCCGCGACCCCUGGCCGCUGCCCGUCUUCCCCCCGCCCCUGCCGCCGCCGCCACCGCCGCCUUACUUCUUCCUGUCGCCACCCUGCUGACCGCCCGGCCCUCCCAGAGGCCGCCGACGCGGAGGGGCUGCGGGCCGAUCCUGCCUUCCAAGUCUUAAGAAGUUAAACUUUCAACUGAAAUAGAUCCAGGGGUCCUGAGGGCCUGGGUGCACCAGGAAAACAGUGGUGUUGAUGGACAAUCGAUACUGGGCCCUGGAGCAGGAGUGUCACAUGCAAGGGCUGUCAAGUCAUCCCCAGGGGACAGGAAAGCUCCCACGUUCCCUUUGUUACUCAGGUGGCUUGGGCACAGGUAACCAGCAGACGUCCUGUCUCGAUGGGCCCUUCUACAGCAGCUCAGGAAUGGUAUCAGGAAGCCAGCUUGACCUUGGGCGACCUCUGAGAGCCUGGGACCCCCCAGCAAGAAAGGCAGCGUAUGAGUUUCCUGUGACUGCUGCAGUAAAUCGCCGCAAAUUGGGGGCUUAAAACAACAAAAAUGCCUUCUUUCGCCGUUCUGGAAGGCAGAAGUCCAAAGUCAAGGUGUGGCAGGGCCAAACUCCCUCCAGAAGCUCUAGUGGAGGAUCCUUCUUGCCUCUCCCAGCUUCUGGUGGCUCCUGGUGAUCCUUGGCUUGUCGCCGCCUAACUCCAGUCUCUGCCUCUGUCUUCAUGUGACCUCCUCCCGUGUCUAUGUCUCAAAUCUCUCUGUUUUUCUCUUAUGACACCUGUCAUUGGGUGUAGGGCCCACUCUCAAUCUGGAAUGAUCUCAUCUUGAGAUCCUCAACUUAAUUACAUCUGCAAAGACCCUCUCUUCAAAUAAGGCCCCUCGCAUAUUUCCCAGGGCUUAGGAGCCACCAUCCGGUCCAUACAGGCAAGUGUCCUCUCCCCUGUGGGGCUGGGCCCCCUCUCGAGCUGGCUGCCCAGCUUCCCUUACUGUGUUUUAGGCCCUGUCCCUCACUGACCCUGAACCGUAGGUGCCCUUGGAGUCCUCAGGCAGGAGCUGAAAGCACUAGUAUCUUGAGAAAGCUCUCACAGGCACCGGAAGAAAGUUGAAUGACUGGCUUUCCCAAACUUUGCUGAAUUAUGGCCGAGUUCCCAUUCCUGCUGGCUUGGUGCUUCCUCCACUAUCUUUAGGUCGUGUGGCCCUCCUCCCCUGUCAGGUAAGCAUCAGACAGUGCACAGAAAGGGCCAGACUGUGUCGUCUUAAAGAAGACAGCCUGGAGGAGCGGGCGGUAGCCCUGCCCUCCGAGCUCCAGGUGAUGACUGCUGCUGGUUGAAAGCUGACAGUUUCGACUGAGAAUAAAGUUAACUGCUACCCCAUCAGUGGAGUCUGCCCAGGUUCACAAGUGAAACCGCCAUUAUGCUCUUCGCAAGAUACUCUUGUCCUGAGUCUACACUUACAGUGACCCCGAGGUGCCGGAGGCGCUGGCUGCUUGGGCAGAGGCCUUCCGGGGCCCUGGAGGUAGGGAGGGCGGACUUCUCCCUCAGUUUCACAGCCAGGAGGCAUGUGGGAUGAGGGCAGUUGUGACUUGCCCGAGCCCUGGGGUGGGGUUGACACCAGGUCUGACCCACAGUCCAGUAAGCUGCGGCUGCAGGUGACUAGCAGACACAGUGCUUUCUGCAUCAGGGACACAGAGGCAGUGACAGUGAGCCAGGGUGGAGGGUGGCUUCCCGUCUGAUGAGAUCCAGAUGCAGUGGGUUCUCCGAGGAGACUUCCUGGCACAGGAGCCUCGGAGUCGGGGAAGGAGGGAAUGGCUGGCUGGGGAGGAAUGGGCGGC